GAUGGCACUCUUAUGGGGCCUAAAGCGUCGUAGCCGGCCUCGCAAGUCCGUCGGGAAAUCCAUACGCUCAACGUAUGGGCGUCCGGCGGAAACUGCCAGGCUUGGGACCGGAAGGCUCGAGGGGUACGUCCGGGGUAGGAGUGAAAUCCUAUAAUCCCGAACGGACCACCGAUGGCGAAAGCACCUCGAGAAAACGGAUCCGACGAUGAGGGACGAAAGCCAGGAUCUCGAACC
This 234-nucleotide ribosomal RNA is filed under the name uncultured archaeon. Its description in RNAcentral is "partial 16S ribosomal RNA". It matches the Rfam family "Archaeal small subunit ribosomal RNA", at positions 491 to 725 of the family's 1478-position model. The record is from RNAcentral.